GCCUGGAGGCCACGUGUCAUCAUGAAACCAGGGUCACGGGUCUCCCAGCACGACAGAACUGCCCUCCUGGGUCUGGGUGAGGUCCUUUGCUGCCAAUACUCUUUGUCGUGUGCCGGGUCGGUUUCGUAAUUCAUCUGAAGUCUGACGGCACGUCUGCUCCCGCAAACCACGGGACAACCAGGCAGCAAGCUGACUGCGGAAGCCGUAGUCACUGGUGUGAACAAUAGUUUUCAAAGCCUCUGCCUCACAUACCUUUCCUGGACAUCUCAACGCGUGGGAAGAAAACCAAUGUGCCUUUGUAAGCAGAAUUUACAAGUUAGUAGCUGAAUUCGGAACCUCAAAGAAAGGCAGGAAAUUCCCCCUGAGCUACUCUGCGCCUCCCUGCUAAGCACGUUGGUACAUCAAUUCCCUUCUUUUCGCUGAUGGGAAAACUGCGGAUGCCAGGGUGGCCCUUUCGAGAACUGUAAAUUGUGAGCCCACCUGUCUCAGCUUAGGACGAUCUAAGACUGACUGAUAAAUUUUAUAUGUUGAAAUCCUGGAAAAACGACAGGAUAUGAACAGUGUCUCCCCCAAAGCCACAAACUGAAAUGCCUCAAACGUCUGUUUCACACCGGACAGAAAAUGACAGUAGUUUUGAAACGGGGAAACUCCGGUUAUAAAGGACGGCAUGAUACCAGAGACACAGACGCGUGAGGUGUCAGCACAGGGAGCUUGCUGAGAGUCCAGAGCCCCGGGGAUAGCCACCAGGUGAGCCCCAGGGAUACCCACCAGGUGUGGGUGAGCCAGCGCCCGGACACUCCUACCUGAAGAAGUAGGCUGCAAGGAACAGGAACAGCAGCAAGGGGAGCAGCAGCCAGGCCAGCAGGGGCUGGGGCGCGCCGGGGGCCGGAGGGCCGGGGGCCGGAGCGCCUGGGGGCAGAAGCAGGUCCCCGUCAGGACCCGAGGCACAAGGGGAAGCGGGCUCUGGGCAAGGAAAGGUUCCCAACAGCAGACCUCGCAGUUUGCAAAGUGGCCCUCCCACCAGCCCCCCUUCCCUGAUGCCAGACCCCACUUUAGAGGUCACCAAUUCGUCCCCCCCAUCCCAGCGGCCCAGGACACCAGAACCCUCCUUUACAGUUUACAAACUCCCUUCGUCAACAGUCCUUCUUCCUGGACACCAAAACCUCACUUCACAGUUUGCAAAGUAGUCACUCCCUCUCAACCCUUCUUCCCUGACACGAGAACCCCACUUUACAGUUUGCAAACUCCCUCCUUCAUCUGCCCUUCUUCCCGGACCCCAUUUUACAGUUUGCAACUCAGUCCACCAUCCUGGUCCAUUGGGUCCACAAAGGCCCCUCUACUUAGAUGAGCAGCGUUGACACCAAGAAGAAGCUGAGCUGACGAUGUGAUGACCUGACGUGUCCAAGGCCCCCUGCUGCUGGGUAGUGAAGGCCCAGACCCCCGUGUGACCUGUUUCCCCAGGUCCCAGGGCACCUGUCCCUCCCGCUAACGGGAGGUGGAGGAGGGUGGGAGUGUAGAUGCCCUGCUGCUCUGUCCCAGGACAGUGGCCCGUGGUCGCAUGGUGACCCGGCCUCCCGGAGCCGUGAGCUGCCGACCUCACCCGCCCAGACGAAAGCUGCUGACCAGGCACCACCCGCGCUCCCCUUUCAUCUGUCUUUCCUGGACCAGAAGGUGCCACGUCCCUGGACCCAACGUGGCUGCCCAGGGCCUGGCCCGCAAGCCUGAACUCCAGGGGGCUCUGGUGGCCCGGCCGCCACCCUCAGAGCCCACCCCUCCCCCAGUGUUCUGACUCAGCUCCUGUCCCCUCAGACUGCCCUGCGGCGCCCUCCUCUCCAAAGCGUCCUCGCCCGCCAAGGAGCACCUCAAAGGCCCCUCGUCCACGAAGCCCACGCAGCUCCCCUCCAGUGGAUCCCAGAGGGGCUCUGUGUGCCUAUAGCACACAGCCUAUUCUCCUGGGGGGAACAGGACCGGGGGGCCCGCCUUCACCCUUGUUUCAGUGGAAGCCCCUAGAAGGCAUGACUGGACCGUCAUCGCUCUGAGUCACAGAAGCACCAACAGGGCCCCUGAGCCCAGCGGGGGCUCCACAGCCCCGCAGCCCCCCAUCUCGCACCCCUCCCCACGUAUCCCAAAGUUGUAACGGGUAUCUCACCCCUGGGCCGGGAGCUCUGCCGCCGGGGCCCUGCGCUGACGCCAGCACCCUGUGGGUGGUCAGUGCUAUAUUCCUAAUAAAUG
Lagenorhynchus albirostris (white-beaked dolphin) is the source of this 2232-nucleotide long non-coding RNA. RefSeq lists it as uncharacterized. The record is from RefSeq and is a predicted model, not a curated record. Lineage: Eukaryota; Metazoa; Chordata; Mammalia; Artiodactyla; Delphinidae. The transcript is spliced from 3 exons.